RNAcentral lists this long non-coding RNA (468 nucleotides) under Ananas comosus (pineapple). RNAcentral describes it as "long non-coding RNA (ACOM_LNC003834)". The record is from RNAcentral. Lineage: Eukaryota; Viridiplantae; Streptophyta; Magnoliopsida; Poales; Bromeliaceae.
UCAUCGUGAUAUAUAUGCAUCUCAUUUUCUAAUUUAUUGUGAUCAUAUAUUCAUGUUUGAGAAACAGUAUAAAAGUUGUUUAUAAGUAUAGCGUUACUAGUUAUUAUACGUUAAAACGUGAAAAUUUUAAAAAUUGUUUUGUUAGAUGUGUUCAAUUGUUGACUUAAAGAGAUCAUCACCCUAUCAUAUGUCGGAAGGCUAAGUAGGCCAAGUCACGUUCGAAUUUGCGUAAGACUGGAUUGGAUCGAGUCAUGUUUGAAAUGGCGUAAGGUUGGGUGGGCCGAGUCACAAUCAAAAUUUAUAUAUACUAGCUGUAUUUGUACACUUUAAGCUAAAUUGGUUAUGUAUUUCUAACAACUCGAAUUUUUUGGAUCAAUAGUUAACGCCAUCAAUUCGGCAUUCAAUCACACUCAAAAUAUUUACAGAGUAAAGAUCAUAAAUUUCACAUCUCUUUAGAAACUACCGAAU